UCCACGCCCUAAACGAUGAACACUAGUCGUCGGGAUGCUGGUCAUCUCGGUGAUGCACUUAACAGAUUAAGUGUUCCGCCUGGGGAGUACGGUCGCAAGAUUAAAACUCAAAGGAAUAGACGGGGAGAUGGAAUUAGUGGUGUAGCAUGUGGUUUAAUUCGAAGAUACGCGAAGAACCUUACCUAGCCUUGACAUUGAAGAAACACACUAGAGAUAGAGUGGUG
Molecule: ribosomal RNA, 224 nt
Filed under: uncultured bacterium
Lineage: Bacteria
Description: partial 16S ribosomal RNA
Rfam family: Bacterial small subunit ribosomal RNA
Source: RNAcentral